UGUCUUCUAAAUAAAGACCCGUAUGAAUGGCUAAAUGAAUAUUUAACUGUCUCUUUUAACCAAUCAGUGAAACUGAUUUUCCAGUACAAAAGCUGGAAUAAAAAUAUAAGACGAGAAGACCCUGUGGAGCUUUAAAUUUUAAUCAAUGUAUAAUUUACACAAAUAUUUAUGAUAAAAGUUUUAAGUUGGGGCGACUUCGGAGAAAAACAAAACCUCCAAGCAAUACAGGCACUGCCAAAACAAGGCCCACACGCCAAACCAAUAUUGACCCAGUACAACUGAUCAACGAACCAAGUUACCCCAGGGAUAACAGCGCUAUCUUCUUCAAGAGUUCAUAUCGACAAGAAGGUUUACGACCUCGAUGUUGGAUCAGGACACCCAAAUGGUGCAGCCGCUAUUAAAGGUUCGUUUGUUCAACGAUUAAUAGU
RNAcentral lists this ribosomal RNA (428 nucleotides) under Anolis lucius. RNAcentral's name for it is "partial 16S ribosomal RNA". It matches the Rfam family "Bacterial large subunit ribosomal RNA", at positions 1970 to 2594 of the family's 2925-position model. The record is from RNAcentral. Lineage: Eukaryota; Metazoa; Chordata; Lepidosauria; Squamata; Anolidae.